CUGACGGAAUAAAUUUUAAAAAAAUACUUCAAGCUUAUGGGGACGUACCAUGUGGCAGUGUAUUGGUCCGCAAAAUGCCAUCCGAAUUGAUUUUUGAGGUUAGAAAAGUGUGCCUUUUAUGAUUUAGGGAAUAGCCGUACCAUCGAAGCUGGUGAUUGGAGAUUAAUGGAGGCACUCGCACCUAUAAGAGGGAAUUGAUGGCUAGCAAAAGCUUCACCUUCUAUC
RNAcentral lists this long non-coding RNA (225 nucleotides) under Elaeis guineensis (African oil palm). Its description in RNAcentral is "long non-coding RNA (EGUI_LNC048096)". Lineage: Eukaryota; Viridiplantae; Streptophyta; Magnoliopsida; Arecales; Arecaceae. The record is from RNAcentral.